GGCAGAGACAGGAAUGAAGUCUAAAGAAGCCAGAAAAUACAUUUUCAACAGUCUGGAUGAUGUAGCGCAUGUGAACACAGUGAUGGAUUUGGAAGGAAGUGAUCUUUUGGCUGAGAAAGCUGAUAGAAGAGAAUUUGUUAGUCUGUUGAAGAAAAUGUUGCUGAUUGAUGCAGAUUUAAGAAUUACUCCAGCUGAGACCCUGAACCAUCCUUUUGUUAAUAUGAAACAUCUUCUAGAUUUCCCUCAUAGCAACCAUGUAAAGUCCUGUUUUCAUAUUAUGGAUAUUUGUAAGUCCCACCUAAAUUCAUGUGACACAAAUAAUCACAACAAAACUUCACUUUUAAGACCAGUUGCUUCAAGCAGUACUGCUACACUGACUGCAAAUUUUACUAAAAUCGGAACAUUAAGAAGUCAGGCAUUGACCACAUCUGCUCAUUCAGUUGUGCACCAUGGAAUACCUCUGCAGGCAGGAACUGCUCAGUUUGGUUGUGGUGAUGCUUUUCAGCAGACAUUGAUUAUCUGUCCCCCAGCUAUUCAAGGUAUUCCUGCAACACAUGGUAAACCCACCAGUUAUUCAAUAAGGGUAGAUAAUACAGUUCCACUUGUAACUCAGGCCCCAGCUGUGCAGCCACUACAGAUCCGACCAGGAGUUCUUUCUCAGACGUGGUCUGGUAGAACACAGCAGAUGCUGGUGCCUGCCUGGCAACAGGUGACACCCCUGGCUCCUGCUACUACUACACUAACUUCUGAGAGUGUGGCUGGUUCACACAGGCUUGGAGACUGGGGGAAGAUGAUUUCAUGCAGCAAUCAUUAUAACUCAGUGAUGCCGCAGCCUCUUCUGACCAAUCAGAUAACUUUAUCUGCCCCUCAGCCAGUUAGUGUGGGGAUUGCACAUGUUGUCUGGCCUCAGCCUGCCACUACC
This 922-nucleotide long non-coding RNA is filed under the name Homo sapiens (human). Its description in RNAcentral is "long non-coding RNA NONHSAT158995.1". Lineage: Eukaryota; Metazoa; Chordata; Mammalia; Primates; Hominidae. The record is from RNAcentral.